UAUGAGUAGGUGUAAAAAAUUAUGGCACGUUGGUUUUUGAUUCCAAAAGGGAGAGUUCAGUCUUUCACACAUAA
This 74-nucleotide transfer RNA is filed under the name Pedetontinus luanchuanensis. RNAcentral describes it as "tRNA-Gln". The record is from RNAcentral. Lineage: Eukaryota; Metazoa; Arthropoda; Insecta; Archaeognatha; Machilidae.